AACCUUUACACUGCACGACAGUGCGAUAGGGGGACUCCGAGUGCGAGGGCAUACAGUCCUCGCUUUUCUGUACCGUAAGGUGGUACAGGAAUAAGUGCUGGGCAAGACCGGUGCCAGCCGCCGCGGUAAUACCGGCAGCACGAGUGAUGGCCGAUAUUAUUGGGCCUAAAGCGUCCGUAGCCGGCCAGACAAGUCCGUUGGGAAAUCGACGUGCCUAACACGUCGGCGUCCAGCGGAAACUGUCUGGCUUGGGGCCGGAAGACUCGAGGGGUACGUCCGGGGUAGGAGUGAAAUCCCGUAAUCCUGGACGGACCGCCGAUGGCGAAAGCACCUCGAGAGGACGGACCCGACGGUGAGGGACGAAAGCUAGGGUCUCGAACCGGAUUAGAUACCCGGGUAGUCCUAGCCGUAAACAAUGCUCGCUAGGUGUGGCGCAGGCUACGAGCCUGCGCUGUGCCGUAGGGAAGCCGUGAAGCGAGCCGCCUGGGAAGUACGUCCGCAAGGAUGAAACUCAA
This 515-nucleotide ribosomal RNA is filed under the name uncultured archaeon. RNAcentral describes it as "bacterial SSU rRNA". It matches the Rfam family "Archaeal small subunit ribosomal RNA", at positions 345 to 859 of the family's 1478-position model. The record is from RNAcentral.